This 378-nucleotide ribosomal RNA is filed under the name uncultured bacterium. Its description in RNAcentral is "partial 16S ribosomal RNA". It matches the Rfam family "Bacterial small subunit ribosomal RNA", at positions 338 to 733 of the family's 1533-position model. The record is from RNAcentral.
CCUACGGGAGGCAGCAGUAGGGAAUAUUGCUCAAUGGGGGAAACCCUGAAGCAGCAACGCCGCGUGGAGGAUGAAGGUUUUCGGAUUGUAAACUUCUUUUGUUAGAGAAGAUAAGGACGGUAUCUAUCGUAUAUUCACCAGCUAACACCGUGCCAGCAGCGCCGGUAAUACGGAGGGUGCAAGAGUUAUUCGGAGUCACUGGGCGUUAGGAGCGCGUAGACGGGAUAGCAAGUCAGAUGUGAAAUCCUACGGCGUAACCGUAGAACUGCAUUUGAAACUGUUAUUCUUGAGUAUCGGAGAGGUAAGUGGAAUUCUUGGUGUAGCGGUGAAAUGCGUAGAGAUCAAGAAGAAUACCCAUGGCGAAGGCGGACUACUAGA